This 788-nucleotide small RNA is filed under the name Bos taurus (domestic cattle). Its description in RNAcentral is "partial maternally expressed gene 8 transcript variant 2". The stretch from base 1 to 107 matches the Rfam family "Maternally expressed 8 exon 2". Lineage: Eukaryota; Metazoa; Chordata; Mammalia; Artiodactyla; Bovidae. The record is from RNAcentral.
GACCUCGGCUCCCGUGUUGCCAGGAUCCGACCUCUCCUAGUUGAAAACAGCCUCGUGUUCCCCUGGGCCGAGGGGCAGCUCCAGAGGACUGGCUGAGUGCUCCGCGGCACUGGACCGUUGUGAAGAUCAGAUGGGACAUUGUACGCGAAGGCAUGCUGCGGACACUACAUGCCUGGGCAAGAGGUACAGCGUUGAUGGUCCCCUCUCUUCGGGGAAACUUGCACUUGAACUUUAUGCUUUUCAUUUUCACACCCUCUGGGAGGGAGGGAGGCCCGGGAGAUCACUGACCCCUGAGGUUCAGCAGGGGGAGCGCCCAAUGCUCCGAGGUGGGGUCAAGGCAGAGGCAGGAGCCUGGGUCGGGAUCCCCAGCCUAGGGGUCUUCCCAUGACUUCCUCAUGUAGGUCCCCACGUGGGUAUGUUUGUGUGCAUAUAUUACAUAUGCACAACUGCAUAUGUUUUAACAUAUGACCAUAAUAGAAUAUGUUUUAACUUGUCAUGUAUUUUUUAUUUUUCCUGCCUCAGAGUUGCACUGGGGCCAGCACGUUGGGCUCCCACCAGGCCAGUCUGGGAGGGCAGGAAGGAAGCUGGCUGUGUCUUGUCACUAAGGGUCAUGGUUUUUUGGUUUCUGGGAAACAAUGCGAACAUCAAGAAUCUCAGGGCAUGGACUCCCCUGAAGGCAGGCCCAUUUCAUGAAAUGAAUUUUAGUUUUACAAAGCGCAUCCCUUAGUUGGAUUUCUGUUUUCCAGGGCACUUGUUUAAGCUUUGAUGCCGGGUCCAAAAAAAAAAAA